AAAGUUGUCGAUCAGGAAACCGGCGAAGAGAUCAAGGCUUCUCCACCAGUUCUGAAAUGACGAAAGCCCCGGCCUAUGUGCCGGGGCUUUUUUUGUGCCGUGACGGGUUAGUCCCGUUUGGCUUUA
RNAcentral lists this transfer RNA (126 nucleotides) under Sulfitobacter sp. EE-36. Its description in RNAcentral is "tRNA-Leu". The record is from RNAcentral. Lineage: Bacteria; Pseudomonadati; Pseudomonadota; Alphaproteobacteria; Rhodobacterales; Roseobacteraceae.